Molecule: ribosomal RNA, 791 nt
Filed under: Glomus sp. MC3
Lineage: Eukaryota; Fungi; Glomeromycota; Glomeromycetes; Glomerales; Glomeraceae
Description: SSU rRNA
Rfam family: Eukaryotic small subunit ribosomal RNA
Source: RNAcentral
AUCAACUUUCGAUGGUAGGAUAGAGNNCAACCAUGGCGGUAACGGGUAACGGGGUGUUAGGGCACGACACCGGAGAGGGAGCCUGAGAAACGGCUACCACAUCCAAGGAUGGCAGCAGGCGCGCAAAUUACCCAAUCCCGACACGGGGAGGUAGUGACAAUAAAUAACAAUACGGGGUUCUUUUGGAUUUCGUAAUUGGAAUGAGUACAAUUUAAAUCUCUUAACGAGGAACAAUUGGAGGGCAAGUCUGGUGCCAGCAGCCGCGGUAAUUCCAGCUCCAAUAGCGUAUAUUAAAGUUGUUGCAGUUAAAAAGCUCGUAGUUGAAUUUCGGGGUUAGUAGGCUGGUCAUGCCACAGGUAUGCACUGGUCUUACUGAUUCCUCCUUCCUGAUGAACCGUAAUGCCAUUAAUUUGGUGUUGCGGGGAGUCUGGACUGUUACUUUGAAAAAAUUAGAGUGUUUAAAGCAGGCUAACGCUUGAAUACAUUAGCAUGGAAUAACGAAAUAGGACGUUCGAUCUUAUUUUGUUGGUUUCUAGGAUUGACGUAAUGAUUAAUAGGGAUAGUUGGGGGCAUUAGUAUUCAAUUGUCAGAGGUGAAAUUCUUGGAUUUAUUGAAGACUAACUACUGCGAAAGCAUUUGCCAAGGAUGUUUUCAUUAAUCAAGAACGAAAGUUAGGGGAUCGAAGACGAUCAGAUACCGUCGNAGUCUUAACCAUAAACUAUGCCCACUAGGGAUCGGAUGAUGUUAAUUUUAUAAUGACUCAUUCGGCGCUCUACGGGAAACAAAGUGUU